Molecule: long non-coding RNA, 382 nt
Filed under: Rattus norvegicus (Norway rat)
Lineage: Eukaryota; Metazoa; Chordata; Mammalia; Rodentia; Muridae
Description: long non-coding RNA NONRATT018044
Source: RNAcentral
CCACCAUGUUUAACCAGCAACUCCAGCAGCAGCAACAGUUGCAGCAGCUCCAGCAACAGCAGCUCCAGCAGCAGCAACAGCAGAUACUCCAGCUCCAACAGCUACUGCAGCAGUCCCCACCACAGGCCUCCUUGUCCAUGCCUGUCAGCCGGCAACCUCCGUGCUUACAAUGUGACAGCCCCAAACCUAGCAGCUCCUAGCCUUACACCACCCCAGAUGGUCACCCCAAAUCUGCAGCAGUUCUUUCCCCAGGCUACUCGACAGUCCCUGCUGGGGCCUCCUCCUGUUGGGAUCCCAAUAAACCCUUCUCAGCAUAACCACUCAGGGAGGAACUCCCAGAAGCAGCCCAGAACCCCCUCUUCCACCACCCCCAAUCACAAGG